AACAAACGCUGGCGGCGUGUUUUAAGCAUGCAAGUUGAGCGGCAAGGAGGAGAGAUCCUCCCUAGAGCAGCGGACUGGUGAGUAACGCGUGGGUAAUCUAUCUUAGGCAUGGGGAUAGUCACUAGAAAUAGUGGGUAAUACCGAAUAAGUUCCAUAAGGGGAGGACUUAUGGAAGAAAGGUGCUACGGCACUGGCCUUAGGUGAGCUCGCGUCCCAUUAGCUAGUUGGUGAGGUAAAGGCCCACCAAGGCGAUGAUGGGUAGCCGGCCUGAGAGGGUGUACGGCCACACUGGGACUGAGAUACGGCCCAGACUCCUACGGGAGGCAGCAGCUAAGAAUAUUCCGCAAUGGACGAAAGUCUGACGGAGCGACGCCGCGUGGAUGAAGAAGGCCGAAAGGUUGUAAAGUUCUUUUGCUAGGGGAGAAUAAGUGAGGGAGGGAAUGCCCUCAUGAUGACAAGGACUAGCGAAUAAGCCCCGGCAACUACGUGCCAGCAGCCGCGGUAAA
This 506-nucleotide ribosomal RNA is filed under the name uncultured bacterium. RNAcentral's name for it is "bacterial SSU rRNA". It matches the Rfam family "Bacterial small subunit ribosomal RNA", at positions 29 to 524 of the family's 1533-position model. The record is from RNAcentral.